UCUCUCGCGCUCGUUCUCUCUCGCUCUGGUUCACUCUCGUUCUCUCUCGCUCUGGUUCACUCUCUCUCUCUCUCUCUCCGUUUUCUCUUGCGUGAUGUCGUAUUUCGUCUACAUUAACGGUCACCUCCAUGGAGCUUGCUGGCUGGUGCAGUUGACGACGAGGAGGAUGAUAAUGACAUAAACAACGACAAUGGCGAUUGUGGAGGUUAAUUGUCUGCUCCGGCUCCGGCUCUGGCUUCGGCUCCCACCAGCGACAGUGACAUAAACAACGACAAUGGCGAUUGUGGAGGUUAAUCGUCUGCUCCGGCUCCGGCUCUGGCUUCGGCUCCCACCAGCGACAGGGCAACGAUUGCAUGCCUGUUGAUGUUUGUGGCUUUGGUAUUGACAUACCUAAUUCACUGAAGAGAGAUUAUUUGAAUUUGGGUUGGGUUAUAUGUUCUGUGAUUUAUUCAUGAAAUUGGGGCAAAAUUUAUGGAUUUACAUACCAAUUAGUGUUCUGAUUUAGACAAUUUUUUGAUUGUAUUGUUGAGGAUUCUAUUCUGUUUGGUCACUGUAAAAAAUAUUGUUGUAAUAUUUAUAUUUAAUAUUAUUUUUUGUAUUUUUUUCUGAA
This is a long non-coding RNA of Cannabis sativa, 610 nucleotides long. RefSeq lists it as uncharacterized. The transcript is spliced from 2 exons. Lineage: Eukaryota; Viridiplantae; Streptophyta; Magnoliopsida; Rosales; Cannabaceae. The record is from RefSeq and is a predicted model, not a curated record.